This 258-nucleotide long non-coding RNA is filed under the name Elaeis guineensis (African oil palm). Its description in RNAcentral is "long non-coding RNA (EGUI_LNC029778)". The record is from RNAcentral. Lineage: Eukaryota; Viridiplantae; Streptophyta; Magnoliopsida; Arecales; Arecaceae.
CAGAGGAGGAAUAUUCUAGUGGAAGAAGGCGAUCCCCAUAUUCUCCAAAAGCAGCAACAUAUGUCGUGUGCGUUUAUCCUACGUCCGAUCAGAAAACAAAGAAAAAUACCAAGGACCCUUUGAGAGCAAGAGAACGAAAAGGAUUAUUUUUAUAAAAAUAAUUAUUUCAUGAAAAAUAAAAAUUUAAGAGAGCAAAAAAUUUUAAAAUUUCUUAAAAAAAUUUAUGAUUGAAAUUCUACAAAAUAUAAUAUAAUAUUA